UCGGUUUCAAAUUACAGUUUUGGGAUCUCCUCCAUUCAAAAUAUACUGAAAUUAGAACGUAAAGCUUUCAUUAACCUCCUCCCUAAUAGGAGGCACUGAAGCACAAAAAUGCUCUCCUCCCUUGCGUUAUUAACUCCGUAAAGCAUGCAUCAUCUGCAAACAUAUAUAUGUUACAUAGCAGCAUCCACAUAUGAUUAUUUCAGCUCCAGCUUUGAUGGUGGGAAGGUGUCCACUGUGAAAUCUUCAUGUUUGGAUUGGAUUGAUGGGGGCAUCAAAUUUGCAGACAAAGCUGAGCUUGGUCUUCCAAACUUGGCCGCUGCUUCAUUAUAAGGGAAAAUGGACUGGCUCCUUUGUAGCAUUAUCAACUCAACUUCCCCAGGAUCAAGGGUCCCAAUUAUUUGGCUCCUUAAAUCCGAAUCGGCAAUCCAAAAUUUUGGAAAGUUCUAAUUUCACCUCGAAGGCCAGCAGUUACAAUCACCAUACCCCAGGCUGUCAUGUUUGGGCUAAAACCAUUCGUAAAAUCAAAACUAACACGCGGGCUUCGGUUCCUAGUAGCUAGAAGUAGUUUCUCCUCGGGCCAUGUUGCCGAAAUUCUAUCAAAGAAGUAAGUGUUGGAUGCACUCGAAAUGGUUCCAUGAAGAGGGCUAUUGGUGCAACCAGAUGCCGAACGUGAACCCUCGUUGCCAUUAGCCACCUCGACAGGCGUAGGGGGAUGGUUGGCUGUGGAGACCUCAUCAAGAUUGUUGUCAAGCCCAUUUUGUUCUGCAUCUUGUAAUCCCCAUGAAUCGCCCACUCCAGGCCAAGGGAUGGCCACUGAUACAUCUUGGCAAUGGAAAUGCUCAUAGGAGCGUGUGACGGUAACGCUUUUGCUUCUGCUAGGUCGGGAAUCAGCUUCAUGUUUCCAUAUAUAUACAUGAGAAUCCUCACUAGCAGAUACCACAUAUUUACCAUUUGCUGUGAGGGUGGCUGAGAUUUGACUA
This is a non-coding RNA of Prunus mume (Japanese apricot), 980 nucleotides long. The record is from RefSeq and is a predicted model, not a curated record. Lineage: Eukaryota; Viridiplantae; Streptophyta; Magnoliopsida; Rosales; Rosaceae.